RNAcentral lists this ribosomal RNA (1585 nucleotides) under Spinomantis microtis. RNAcentral's name for it is "16S ribosomal RNA". It matches the Rfam family "Bacterial large subunit ribosomal RNA", at positions 371 to 2925 of the family's 2925-position model. The record is from RNAcentral. Lineage: Eukaryota; Metazoa; Chordata; Amphibia; Anura; Mantellidae.
GCCCAUAAUCUAGCCAACAUCCCUACCUAUGCAAAAAUCUCGAUUAAUCCAAAUAUAAUAAAACAUUUUAAUCUUCUAGUAGAGGUGAUCAAAAAAUAUAUCAGCGCUUCAGAUUAAGUACCGCAAGGGAAAGAUGAAAUAAAAAUGAAACAACAUUAAAGCACUAAACAGCAGAGCCCACCCCUCGUACCUUUUGCAUCAUGGUCUAGCUAGUCUUACCAAGCAAAAAGAACUUUCAGUUUGACCCCCCGAAACUAAGUGAGCUACUUCGAAACAACCUAAAGAGCCAACCCGUCUCUGUUGCAAAAGAGUGGGACGAUUUCCAAGUAGAAGUGAUAAACCUACCGCGCUUAGAGAUAGCUGGUUACUCAAGAAAAGAAUAUAAGUUCAACCUUAAGCCUUCCACUUACACAUAAAAUUUCAUCAGGCUUAAGAGCUACUCGAAUAAGGCACAGCUUAUUCGAAACAGGAUACAACCUAUAAUAUAGGGUAACACCUAGGAGCAAACAACAAGUGGGCCUAAGAGCAGCCACCUUCUAAAAAGCGUUAAAGCUUAAUAUCCACCUCUAAUAAAUGUCUUCACUAAUCUCCAACCCAUAAAUAAUAUUGAGUAACUCCAUAAAUAUAUGGAAGAUAUAAUGCUAGAACUAGUAAUAAGAAAUAGAUUUUUCUCCAAAAUGUAAGCUUAAGCCUCAUUAGACCCGCUACUGGCAAUUAACGCAAAUGAACCUAUUAUACUAACUCCAACAAGAAAACCCUAUAUACCACAACGUCAAUCUUACACUAGAACAUUUAUGGAAAGAUUAAAAGAGAAAGAAGGAACUCGGCAAACUUAGACCCCGCCUGUUUACCAAAAACAUCGCCUCUUGACAAAAUAUAAGAGGUCCAGCCUGCCCAGUGACAAAGUUCAACGGCCGCGGUACCCUAACCGCGCGAAGGUAGCAUAAUCACUUGUUCUUUAAAUGGGGACUCGUAUCAACGGCAUCACGAGGGUCACACUGUCUCCUUUCUCCAAUCAAUGAAACUGAUCUCUCCGUGAAGAAGCGGAGAUUUAAUUAUAAGACGAGAAGACCCCAUGGAGCUUUAAACCUACUACACCCCCACUUACUACACCCAAUCAAUCGACGAGGCCCUGUAUAAUAGGUUUUAGGUUGGGGUGACCGCGGAGCAUAAUAAAACCUCCACGAUGAACGGGACUACCCCCUUAUCUAAGAGUAACAUCUCUAAGAAUUAGCACACUAACAUUAAAUGAUCCGACACUCGAUCAACGAACCAAGUUACCCUGGGGAUAACAGCGCAAUCCACUUCAAGAGCCCCUAUCGACAAGUGGGUUUACGACCUCGAUGUUGGAUCAGGGUAUCCUAGUGGUGCAGCAGCUACUAAAGGUUCGUUUGUUCAACGAUUAAAACCCUACGUGAUCUGAGUUCAGACCGGAGUAAUCCAGGUCGGUUUCUAUCUAUAAAGAGCUACUCCCAGUACGAAAGGAUCGGAGUAACAUGGCCUAUGCAUAAACAAGCCAUCCCCAUUCACCAAUGAACCCAACUCAAUUGGCCACAGUCCUACAACUACUCCUAAACCAGGAUUU